GGGUUGUGAGGUUAAGCGACUAAGCGUACACGGUGGAUGCCCUGGCAGUCAGAGGCGAUGAAGGGCGUGCUAAUCUGCGAUAAGCGCCGGUAAGGUGAUAUGAACCGUUAUAACCGGCGAUACCCGAAUGGGGAAACCCAGUGUGAUUCGUCACACUAUCAUUAACUGAAUCCAUAGGUUAAUGAGGCGAACCGGGGGAACUGAAACAUCUAAGUACCCCGAGGAAAAGAAAUCAACCGAGAUUCCCCCAGUAGCGGCGAGCGAACGGGGAGGAGCCCAGAGCCUGAAUCAGCAUGUGUGUUAGUGGAAGCGUCUGGAAAGGCGCGCGAUACAGGGUGACAGCCCCGUACACAAAAGCGCAUGUGCUGUGAGCUCGAUGAGUAGGGCGGGACACGUGGUAUCCUGUCUGAAUAUGGGGGGACCAUCCUCCAAGGCUAAAUACUCCUGACUGACCGAUAGUGAACCAGUACCGUGAGGGAAAGGCGAAAAGAACCCCGGCGAGGGGAGUGAAAAAGAACCUGAAACCGUGUACGUACAAGCAGUGGGAGCNNGUGACUGCGUACCUUUUGUAUAAUGGGUCAGCGACUUAUAUUCUGUAGCAAGGUUAACCGAAUAGGGGAGCCGGAGGGAAACCGAGUCUUAACCGGGCGUUAAGUUGCAGGGUAUAGACCCGAAACCCGGUGAUCUAGCCAUGGGCAGGUUGAAGGUUGGGUAACACUAACUGGAGGACCGAACCGACUAAUGUUGAAAAAUUAGCGGAUGACCUGUGGCUGGGGGUGAAAGGCCAAUCAAACCGGGAGAUAGCUGGUUCUCCCCGAAAGCUAUUUAGGUAGCGCCUCGUGAAUUCAUCUCCGGGGGUAGAGCACUGUUUCGGCUAGGGGGCCAUCCCGGCUUACCAACCCGAUGCAAACUGCGAAUACCGGAGAAUGUUAUCACGGGAGACACACGGCGGGUGCUAACGUCCGUCGUGAAGAGGGAAACAACCCAGACCGCCAGCUAAGGUCCCAAAGUCAUGGUUAAGUGGGAAACGAUGUGGGAAGGCCCAGACAGCCAGGAUGUUGGCUUAGAAGCAGCCAUCAUUUAAAGAAAGCGUAAUAGCUCACUGGUCGAGUCGGCCUGCGCGGAAGAUGUAACGGGGCUAAACCAUGCACCGAAGCUGCGGCAGCGANNGUUGGGUAGGGGAGCGUUCUGUAAGCCUGUGAAGGUGGCCUGUGAGGGUUGCUGGAGGUAUCAGAAGUGCGAAUGCUGACAUAAGUAACGAUAAAGCGGGUGAAAAGCCCGCUCGCCGGAAGACCAAGGGUUCCUGUCCAACGUUAAUCGGGGCAGGGUGAGUCGACCCCUAAGGCGAGGCCGAAAGGCGUAGUCGAUGGGAAACGGGUUAAUAUUCCCGUACUUGGUGUUACUGCGAAGGGGGGACGGAGAAGGCUAUGUUGGCCGGGCGACGGUUGUCCCGGUUUAAGCGUGUAGGUGUGUGUUCCAGGUAAAUCCGGUUCACUUUAACACUGAGGCGUGAUGACGAGGCACUACGGUGCUGAAGUAACAAAUGCCCUGCUUCCAGGAAAAGCCUCUAAGCAUCAGGUAACAUCAAAUCGUACCCCAAACCGACACAGGUGGUCAGGUAGAGAAUACCAAGGCGCUUGAGAGAACUCGGGUGAAGGAACUAGGCAAAAUGGUGCCGUAACUUCGGGAGAAGGCACGCUGACACGUAGGUGAAGUGAUUUACUCAUGGAGCUGAAGUCAGUCGAAGAUACCAGCUGGCUGCAACUGUUUAUUAAAAACACAGCACUGUGCAAACACGAAAGUGGACGUAUACGGUGUGACGCCUGCCCGGUGCCGGAAGGUUAAUUGAUGGGGUCAGCGCAAGCGAAGCUCCUGAUCGAAGCCCCGGUAAACGGCGGCCGUAACUAUAACGGUCCUAAGGUAGCGAAAUUCCUUGUCGGGUAAGUUCCGACCUGCACGAAUGGCGUAAUGAUGGCCAGGCUGUCUCCACCCGAGACUCAGUGAAAUUGAACUCGCUGUGAAGAUGCAGUGUACCCGCGGCAAGACGGAAAGACCCCGUGAACCUUUACUAUAGCUUGACACUGAACAUUGAGCCUUGAUGUGUAGGAUAGGUGGGAGGCUUUGAAGUGUGGACGCCAGUCUGCAUGGAGCCGACCUUGAAAUACCACCCUUUAAUGUUUGAUGUUCUAACGUGGACCCGUGAUCCGGGUUGCGGACAGUGUCUGGUGGGUAGUUUGACUGGGGCGGUCUCCUCCUAAAGAGUAACGGAGGAGCACGAAGGUUGGCUAAUCCUGGUCGGACAUCAGGAGGUUAGUGCAAUGGCAUAAGCCAGCUUGACUGCGAGCGUGACGGCGCGAGCAGGUGCGAAAGCAGGUCAUAGUGAUCCGGUGGUUCUGAAUGGAAGGGCCAUCGCUCAACGGAUAAAAGGUACUCCGGGGAUAACAGGCUGAUACCGCCCAAGAGUUCAUAUCGACGGCGGUGUUUGGCACCUCGAUGUCGGCUCAUCACAUCCUGGGGCUGAAGUAGGUCCCAAGGGUAUGGCUGUUCGCCAUUUAAAGUGGUACGCGAGCUGGGUUUAGAACGUCGUGAGACAGUUCGGUCCCUAUCUGCCGUGGGCGCUGGAGAACUGAGGGGGGCUGCUCCUAGUACGAGAGGACCGGAGUGGACGCAUCACUGGUGUUCGGGUUGUCAUGCCAAUGGCACUGCCCGGUAGCUAAAUGCGGAAGAGAUAAGUGCUGAAAGCAUCUAAGCACGAAACUUGCCCCGAGAUGAGUUCUCCCUGAGACUUAAAGUCUCCUGAAGGAACGUUGAAGACGACGACGUUGAUAGGCCGGGUGUGUAAGCGCAGCGAUGCGUUGAGCUAACCGGUACUAAUGAACCGUG
This 2883-nucleotide ribosomal RNA is filed under the name Salmonella enterica subsp. enterica serovar Dublin. RNAcentral's name for it is "bacterial LSU rRNA". It matches the Rfam family "Bacterial large subunit ribosomal RNA". Lineage: Bacteria; Pseudomonadati; Pseudomonadota; Gammaproteobacteria; Enterobacterales; Enterobacteriaceae. The record is from RNAcentral.